GCCUCGUGUUUUCUCUCUCCCAUUUUCCACACAAAGAAAGCACAGCGCCCCUCGCAGGAAUGGAGGUGCACAUUGCCGCUAAACCAAGCAUCGCCAUAUUGAUGUCCCAACAACGUCGAGAGGGCAUAUGACAGUGGGAAUCCUAGUGAUGACUCUACUGAGCCCGGUGCCCCCUGAUUAGACUGGUUGGAUGUCCUCCUUAACAACUACAACAAUCAGCCUCUACCAAACCAACGUAGCAUCAGCUCUGCAGCGACCCCACCUGUCACCUGCAGCUUGGAGGAAACCUCCAAGGUGAUCCA
This 302-nucleotide long non-coding RNA is filed under the name Oncorhynchus kisutch (coho salmon). RNAcentral's name for it is "lncRNA (ENSOKIG00005044377.1)". The record is from RNAcentral. Lineage: Eukaryota; Metazoa; Chordata; Actinopteri; Salmoniformes; Salmonidae.